RNAcentral lists this ribosomal RNA (998 nucleotides) under Acinetobacter baumannii. Its description in RNAcentral is "partial 23S ribosomal RNA". It matches the Rfam family "Bacterial large subunit ribosomal RNA", at positions 1 to 1049 of the family's 2925-position model. Lineage: Bacteria; Pseudomonadati; Pseudomonadota; Gammaproteobacteria; Moraxellales; Moraxellaceae. The record is from RNAcentral.
AGUCAAGUAAUUAAGUGCAUGUGGUGGAUGCCUUGGCAGUCAGAGGCGAUGAAAGACGUGAUAGCCUGCGAAAAGCUCCGGGGAGGCGGCAAAUAUCCUUUGAUCCGGAGAUGUCUGAAUGGGGGAACCCACCUACUUUAAGGUAGGUAUUGCAACAUGAAUACAUAGUGUUGCAAGGCGAACGAGGGGAAGUGAAACAUCUCAGUACCCUUAGGAAAAGAAAUCAAUUGAGAUUCCCUCAGUAGCGGCGAGCGAACGGGGAUCAGCCCAUUAAGUUAUGUGUGUUUUAGUGGAACGCUCUGGGAAGUGCGAACGUAGAGGGUGAUAUUCCCGUACACGAAAGGGCACACAUAAUGAUGACGAGUAGGGCGAGGCACGUGAAACCUUGUCUGAAUAUGGGGGGACCAUCCUCCAAGGCUAAAUACUCCUGACUGACCGAUAGUGAACCAGUACCGUGAGGGAAAGGCGAAAAGAACCCCUGUGAGGGGAGUGAAAUAGAUCCUGAAACCGCAUGCAUACAAGCAGUGGGAGCACCUUCGUGGUGUGACUGCGUACCUUUUGUAUAAUGGGUCAGCGACUUAUAUUCAGUAGCGAGGUUAACCGUAUAGGGGAGCCGUAGAGAAAUCGAGUCUUAAUAGGGCGUUUAGUUGCUGGGUAUAGACCCGAAACCAGGCGAUCUAUCCAUGAGCAGGUUGAAGGUUGGGUAACACUAACUGGAGGACCGAACCCACUGUCGUUGAAAAGCCAGGGGAUGACUUGUGGAUAGGGGUGAAAGGCUAAUCAAGCCUGGUGAUAGCUGGUUCUCCCCGAAAGCUAUUUAGGUAGCGCCUCGGACGAAUACCAUAGGGGGUAGAGCACUGUUUCGGCUAGGGGGUCAUCCCGACUUACCAAACCGAUGCAAACUCCGAAUACCUAUGAGUACUAUCCGGGAGACAGACUGCGGGUGCUAACGUCCGUAGUCAAGAGGAAAACAAUCCAGACCGCCAGCUAAGGCCCCA